UAAAAAAUAAUAGAUUUAAAAAUUAAUUUAAUUAAAAUAAUAAAUUUUUAAUAAAAAAUUUUAGUAAUUUUUAAAGAAUAAAUAAAAAUUUUUAUAGAAAAUUAGUAUAGAAAUAGAAUUUUUAAAAAAUCAUGAAAUAUAAAUUAUUAAAAAGUAAAUUUAAUUUAUUGUACCUUGUGUAUCAGUGAAUAUUUAAAUAAAAUUAUUUAUAUUAAAUUUUUCGAAAAAAAAAGAGUUAAUUAAAUUAAUUAUUUUAGUUAUUGUAUUAAAAAUAUUAAAAAUAAUUUAUUUGAAAUGAAAUGUUAAACGAUUUUUUUUAUAUCUAAUUUUGAAAGAAAUAAAUUUAAUUUAGUUAUUUUAAAAUAAUUUUUUAUUUAAUUUAUAAAAUUUAUUAAAAAUAAUUAUAUUUAUUGGGAUAAGCUAAUAAAUUUAUAAUUAAAUAUUAAAAUAAUAUUAAAAAUAAAUUUAUAAAAAUUAAAUUAUUUAAUAAUUAUAUUUUUUUAUAAAAAAUUUAUUAAUUUAUAAAUAUUUUAAUUUAUGUAAAUAUUAAUUUAGAAAUUUAUUUAAAUAUUAUUUUUAAUUAUUAAAAAUAAUAAAUAAUGAUAUUAUUAGUAUAUAAAUAAUUUAUAAAUUAAUUUUUGUGUAAAAUUGAUUUUAAGAAUUCGGCAAAUUUAUAUUCGCUUGUUUAACAAAAACAUGUCUUUUUGAUUAAUAAUUAAAAGUCUAAUCUGCCCCCUGAAUAUUUAAAUUUAAAGGGCUGCAGUAUAUUAACUGUACAAAGGUAGCAUAAUAAUUAGGUUUUUAAUUGAAAUCUUGUAUGAAUGAUUGGACGAAAUAUAAACUUUUUUAAAUUAAUUAAAUAAAAUUUAAUUUUUUAGUCAAAAAGCUAAAAUUUUUUUAAAAGACGAGAAGACCCUAUAAAUUUUUAUAAUAAAAUUAUUUAUAAAGUUUUUUAAAUAUAUAAUUAAAUCAAUUUAAUUAUUUUGUUGGGGUGAUAGAAAAAUUUAUAAAACUUUUUUUGAAAAUUUUAAUUUAAAUUAAAAUUUUAUUUUAUAAAAAAUUAUUAUUAAUAGUUAAAAGAUUAAAAUACUUUAGGGAUAACAGCGUAAUGUUAAUUUUAAGUUCAUAUUAAAAUUAAAGUUUGCGACCUCGAUGUUGGAUUAAAAUUAAGUUUAAAUGCAAAAAUUUAAAUUUUGAGUCUGUUCGACUUUUAAAAUUUUACAUGAUCUGAGUUCAAACCGGUGUGAGCCAGGUUGGUUUCUAUCUUUAAAUAAAAUUUAAUAUUUUAGUACGAAAGGAAUAAAUAUUAGAAAUAAUUUUUUAAUAAUUGAUUAAAUGUAAUGAAAUUAAA
Molecule: ribosomal RNA, 1351 nt
Filed under: Brachycentrus maculatus
Lineage: Eukaryota; Metazoa; Arthropoda; Insecta; Trichoptera; Brachycentridae
Description: 16S ribosomal RNA
Source: RNAcentral